AAGAGAGAGGGCCGCUGUAGGCCAUGAAGAAAGAGCAGGGCAGAGAGGACACAGAAGGCCAGGCUGGGCUCCUGUCACUGAAGGCUGCCCAGAGAAGCCGGCUAGACCUCAGGAAACCUCGGAGCAAAUUCACCAUUUCCAGAAGGACCUUUAAUCCAGUAGUCUCUUUGCGGGCUGGGGCUUUAGCCAGGCAUCAAGACUUGGACCGCAAGGAGUUUCUGCAGGGCAGUUCACAGGAUGUGAAGCAGUGUGACCACAGGUGAUCCUCAGGAGGGCUCUCUCAGGCAUUCUGACUGGGCCCCACUGGUUCUUGCACUGGC
RNAcentral lists this long non-coding RNA (320 nucleotides) under Neogale vison (American mink). RNAcentral's name for it is "Neovison vison (American mink) lncRNA (ENSNVIG00000021340.1)". The record is from RNAcentral. Lineage: Eukaryota; Metazoa; Chordata; Mammalia; Carnivora; Mustelidae.